GUCGGGAUGCCCGAGUGGUCUAAGGGGGACGACUUAAGAUCGUCUGGCGCAAGUCUCGCGGGUUCGAACCCCGCUCCCGACA
RNAcentral lists this transfer RNA (82 nucleotides) under Dehalococcoidia bacterium. Its description in RNAcentral is "tRNA-Leu". It matches the Rfam family "tRNA". From Rfam's summary of the family: Transfer RNA (tRNA) molecules are approximately 80 nucleotides in length. Their secondary structure includes four short double-helical elements and three loops (D, anti-codon, and T loops). The record is from RNAcentral. Lineage: Bacteria; Bacillati; Chloroflexota; Dehalococcoidia.